Molecule: ribosomal RNA, 440 nt
Filed under: uncultured bacterium
Lineage: Bacteria
Description: partial 16S ribosomal RNA
Rfam family: Bacterial small subunit ribosomal RNA
Source: RNAcentral
CCUACGGGAGGCAGCAGUCGGGAAUAUUGCACAAUGGGGGAAACCCUGACGCAGCGACGCCGCGUGAAGGAAGAAGGUUUUCGGUUUGUAAACUUCUAUUAGCAGGGAAGAAAAUGACGGUACCUGACUAAUAAGCCCCGGCUAACUCCGUGCCAGCAGCCGCGGUAAUACGUAGGGUGCAAGCGUUAUCCGGAUUUACUGGGUGUAAAGGGAGCGUAGGCGGUUUAGCAAGUCAGAUGUGAAAGCCCGCGGCUCAACUCUGGAACUGCAUUUGAAACUGGUGAACUAGAGUGCAGGAGAGGUAGGUGGAAUUCCUGGUGUAGCGGUGAAAUGCGUAGAUAUUAGGAGGAACACCAGGGGCGAAGGCGGCUUACUGGACUGUAAAUGACGCUGAGGCUCGAAAGCGUGGGGAGCAAACAGGAUUAGAUACCCGAGUAGUC